GGACGAACGCUGGCGGCGUGCUUAACACAUGCAAGUCGAACGCGAAAGUUCCUUCGGGGAUGAGUAGAGUGGCGUCCGGGUGAGUAACGCGUGGGUAAUCUGCCUUUGGGUGGGGAACUAACCCAGGGAAACUUGGGCUAAUACCGCAUAAUGCAGCGGCUCGACAUCGAGACGGUUGUAAAGCAGCAAUGUGCCUGGAGAGGAGCCUGCGUCUGAUUAGCUAGUUGGUAAGGAAUGGCUUACC
This 244-nucleotide ribosomal RNA is filed under the name uncultured bacterium. RNAcentral's name for it is "partial 16S ribosomal RNA". It matches the Rfam family "Bacterial small subunit ribosomal RNA", at positions 27 to 269 of the family's 1533-position model. The record is from RNAcentral.